GACGAACGCUGGCGGCGUGCUUAACACAUGCAAGUCGAACGGAAAGGCCCUUUCGGGGGUACUCGAGUGGCGAACGGGUGAGUAACACGUGGGUGAUCUGCCCUGCACUCUGGGAUAAGCCUGGGAAACUGGGUCUAAUACCGGAUAGGACCAUGGGAUGCAUGUUCUGUGGUGGAAAGCUUUUGCGGUGUGGGAUGGGCCCGCGGCCUAUCAGCUUGUUGGUGGGGUGAUGGCCUACCAAGGCGACGACGGGUAGCCGGCCUGAGAGGGUGUCCGGCCACACUGGGACUGAGAUACGGCCCAGACUCCUACGGGAGGCAGCAGUGGGGAAUAUUGCACAAUGGGCGCAAGCCUGAUGCAGCGACGCCGCGUGGGGGAUGACGGCCUUCGGGUUGUAAACCUCUUUCAGUAUCGGCGAAGCUCCUGGAUUUUUCUGGGGGUGACGGUAGGUACAGAAGAAGCACCGGCCAACUACGUGC
RNAcentral lists this ribosomal RNA (479 nucleotides) under Mycobacterium senuense. RNAcentral's name for it is "Mycolicibacter senuensis bacterial SSU rRNA". It matches the Rfam family "Bacterial small subunit ribosomal RNA", at positions 28 to 508 of the family's 1533-position model. Lineage: Bacteria; Bacillati; Actinomycetota; Actinomycetes; Mycobacteriales; Mycobacteriaceae. The record is from RNAcentral.